Molecule: ribosomal RNA, 521 nt
Filed under: uncultured bacterium
Lineage: Bacteria
Description: bacterial SSU rRNA
Rfam family: Bacterial small subunit ribosomal RNA
Source: RNAcentral
CCAGAGAACUUUCCAGAGAUGGAUUGGUGCCUUCGGGAACUCUGAGACAGGUGCUGCAUGGCUGUCGUCAGCUCGUGUUGUGAAAUGUUGGGUUAAGUCCCGCAACGAGCGCAACCCUUAUCCUUUGUUGCCAGCGGUCCGGCCGGGAACUCAAAGGAGACUGCCAGUGAUAAACUGGAGGAAGGUGGGGAUGACGUCAAGUCAUCAUGGCCCUUACGAGUAGGGCUACACACGUGCUACAAUGGCGCAUACAAAGAGAAGCGACCUCGCGAGAGCAAGCGGACCUCAUAAAGUGCGUCGUAGUCCGGAUUGGAGUCUGCAACUCGACUCCAUGAAGUCGGAAUCGCUAGUAAUCGUGGAUCAGAAUGCCACGGUGAAUACGUUCCCGGGCCUUGUACACACCGCCCGUCACACCAUGGGAGUGGGUUGCAAAAGAAGUAGGUAGCUUAACCUUCGGGAGGGCGCUUACCACUUUGUGAUUCAUGACUGGGGUGAAGUCGUAACAAGGUAAGCGUAGUGCU